CCCCCCCAAAAACUCAACUCUCUUUUCUUUCUUCCUUUGUACUUUUGACUAGUUUGUGUUUGUCGGACCAUGACCCAUGCCAUUUCACCUCAAAACCAAUUGGUGAUGAGAAAAACACAUUGAAAUCUUUUAUGGCAUUCGACAUUGCGCCCCAUGAGCCUACUUUUAAAGUGGUUGUAGUGAGUCAAAUUUUGAUCCCCCCAACAAUUUCUCCCUCACAGUGACACUCUCGCGACUAGAACCCAUGUCCUUGGCUCUAAUAUCAUUUGUCGGAUCGCGAGUUGUGCCAUUCAUCCUCAAAACCAAUUGGUGAUGAGAAAAGAGACUCUCAAAUCUUUUAUAGCAUUUGACAUCGCACUUCGUGAGUCUAUUUUUAGAGUGGUUGUAGGGAGUUAAAUUGUGGUCCUCCCAACAGUGCUCCUUUGCACAAAGUAGUUUUUUUUUUUUUAAUUUAUUUUUAUUUUUUAUAAUUUAUAUAGAUCCUUCUUAUUUAUCGAAGAAAAAAAAAAAGAAAAAAAAAAGAUAAUCGCUACAAAGAUGUAUAGAUCAAAAGCCUAUAUGUAAGAGACUCAAAAGAAGUUUAAUUUUGUAAUGGUGAAGCAACUUCCUUGAAAUGGACCAGCUGAUUUUAAAACACAGAGAGAGAUACAUAGGCGAGCAAAGAAAGACAAGGAAAAUGUUUCAAAAGCAAAUGAGGCAAUUACAAGAGAGAAAAGAACUAAUGAACAUAGAGAGAGAUUUACUAGAUGUGAAUCCCCAAGUGCAAGACCAGUCAAACAAAAAGCCACUAAAAGAAGCAAGCAACUGAUUAUCCGAACUAUCCACAUCCUCAAACGUCUGCCUAUUACUCUUCCCCUAAGUACAACACAUCAAACACAAUGGAACUAAAACCCAGAUGUCUGAAGAAUGCUUCCCCAACCAAUCCCACCAACCAAAAAUAAAAGAGCAGAGGCUGAAGCAGGGUGAGAUUGUGGCAUUGAUAAGUGAUGCGGGGACACUUUGCGUUAGUGAUCCUGGUAUGGAUUUGCAAUUGGAUUCCUAAACAUGCUAGAUCAAGAAGAGAGAGACUGAUGGUUUCUGCAAAUGAGUUGGUGACUCAAAUAUUCUAUGUUCCUCCACACAAGCUUCAUCAGUUUCUUAAAGAAACUUCUUUGCAUUUCAGUGACUCCAGGUAAAUUCCUUAUCCACCUAAAUGUACAUAUAUCCUAUUUGCUACUAUGGAAAUCUCUUUAUCUGUUAUAUAAUAGAUGCAGGAAAACAUAUCAACAGUUUACUGGGAAGUGACAAAAUUGUAAAAUUCUUGCUUUGUCUGUCUGAUUAGUAAACUUCUUCUUAACUUGCUUAUUGGCAAUAUGAGCUAUGUUCUUUCUUUUUCCUUUUAGUUUGCCCCUCCUUUUCUUGGAAAUGUCAUAUUUGUUUUAAGGGAGUGCUGGAAGUAUACACCCAAUGUCACUGGAUCAACAUCAGUAACCUUUUGUUCCUGGGUGAGGAUGGGUAACUUAUUGAUACUAUAGCCUCUUGCUUUUAAUUAAUUCCUAGGUUAUUAAUUAUUGUAUGCAGCCAAAUUUUGGUUUCUUGAUACAAUUAGGAGAUUAUCCUCAGGACUCCUGGUACAAUGAGCAGUUUUACAUCAAUUAGAGGGAGGCGAAAUUAUACGAGCUUUCACUCCUUUGAAGUUCUAAUUAUGGUUCAUUUCAUGUGACGAUGGAUUACAAAAUGAAAUUGUAUUAGUAAAUUCAUGUGUAAUAGCUGAUUUGCUGUGGAUAUUUACUCUUUUAUAAGUAGAUAUACAGUUCCUUAGAAUCAGCUUUGACAAUUCAUCAUAACAAUUGUAUUGCAGACGAUGUUUCAUAGCUCGAGAGAUGACAAUAUGCACGAAGAGAUACCUGGAUAAACUUUUCAAUCAGUAUGUCACAAUUGUUUGCUCCUUAACUUCCAUUCUGGCUUUGGGGGAGGUCAUUCUACAAGCAAUAUGCACAAGAUAUGGACUUACUAUCGGGGCCAAGUUCAUAUGGCUUGUGGGAGUUGUAAUGAUAAUUUUCUAUCCUAUAGCUUGGGAUUAAACAUCAGUCCAUGCUUUGUCUGCCAAAAGGUAGAGAAUCACAUUGUUGGAGCUCCAUGUGGUGUGAUGGAUCAGAACUUAAAGCAUGUGGUGAAGCCAACACACUUCUUGCAGUGAUGUUCCAGGCUUUCAAAGCACUUAUAACAUCGGCAACUUCAGAUGAGCAACAUAUGGGAUCUUGGAGAACUAUUGUAUGAGGUAGGCCUCAGACGGAAAUAAAGCAAUGGAGACUAGUGACAUCUGGAGUAUCAGCCCCUUGUAUUCCUUGCAUGGCUAGCAAUAAAAAAUUCUAAUGAUUUUUUUAUAUUCUAUAAUGCAUGAUUUUAAAUUCAUUCUAUGAACGUAUGUUGUCUUUUAGUAGGCUUGUAACAGGGACUGGAAAGUUAUUUCUAACACUAACGAUUUGUUCUAAGGCUUUGCAGAGCACCUAUUGAAUUUUUCUGAUUUUCUAAUUGUUUUUGUGAUUUAGGAUUUUUGAAAUGCAAUGGGGACAGAUUGAAGAUAGCUUUUGUUGAGGACAUUACACAUAUAGCAGGAUUCAGGCCAAAAAGAAAAGGAAAGACCAAUUAAUUUCACUAUCAAAAGUUUUUGCUUCCAUCAUGCAAAAUUUGUACUAAGCCCAUGGUUUUCAAACCACAUCAAUGUUUCUAAUUCAAUUAUCAUUAUGUUACUCUAUAACAGGAUAAUCAUCAUGAAUGAGGUUUGUAGCUUUUAUAUGUCCUAGUUAUGGGCAUGCA
RNA transcript from Quercus robur (English oak), 2799 nucleotides. RefSeq lists it as uncharacterized. The record is from RefSeq and is a predicted model, not a curated record. Lineage: Eukaryota; Viridiplantae; Streptophyta; Magnoliopsida; Fagales; Fagaceae. The transcript is spliced from 9 exons.